AAACAAAGAUAAAAACAAAUAACAAUAAACUUCGUUCAAGUGUAAAAAUUGAUUGUAGCUCAUGGAAUUCGGUGUUUCGAAAUUUACGUUACCGCGAACAAAAAAAUGAUUAAAUUUCAAAGAUACAUUACAUUAUGCGAUUAAAUUAAUACGAAUCUAAACAAGUCGAUAUUAACUAUCGUAAUCAAUAAUAUAUUCUUAUCAAAGAUAUACUUAAGUUUAACUAAUUAUAUGUAUAUAUAUACAUAUAUAUAUAUCAUGUGAUUCUUUGUGAACUUAAGUUGAUUAGAUGAUCAAUGUAUUGACAUUGUAAACGUGUAGAUCUUGUACAUAGAAAAUUGUUUAUAAAGUUAGAAGCUUUUGGUUACAGAUGAAGCAAAUUCAUAGACAUAUUCUGUUGUAUUUUUUAAAGUAGAAUUGCAUGGAAGUGGAAAAUAAUACUUGCGUAUGCGAGGAAACUUUUCCAUUAUCAUUUUAGUGACCAAUAUAAAUGAAGGUUUAGAAAUUAAUUAAUGCAAAUUGUGGAAUAAAAUGAAUAUUCUUUAUUGUUAAAAUUAUAUUAUUAAAUUGUAGAGCUAAAUGAAGGUGUAAAAUUAUAAUAGCACAAAAUGAAUAAAAUAAAUAGUAUAUGUAUGUACAUCCAAUUUCUCGCACAAAAUAAUGUAAGUUAGAAGUAAUAAAAAAUUAAUUAUUGACAUGCAAAAGAAUUACUCACAGAUAUACAUUGUGUUGAGUCAUUCA
Molecule: long non-coding RNA, 741 nt
Organism: Bombus impatiens (common eastern bumble bee)
Lineage: Eukaryota; Metazoa; Arthropoda; Insecta; Hymenoptera; Apidae
Exons: 2
Source: RefSeq, a predicted model, not a curated record